RNAcentral lists this ribosomal RNA (243 nucleotides) under uncultured bacterium. Its description in RNAcentral is "partial 16S ribosomal RNA". It matches the Rfam family "Bacterial small subunit ribosomal RNA", at positions 531 to 773 of the family's 1533-position model. The record is from RNAcentral.
GGUGCAAGCGUUAUCCGGAUUUACUGGGUGUAAAGGGAGCGCAGGCGGCGCGGCAAGUCAGAUGUGAAAGCCCGGGGCCCAACCCCCGGACUGCUUUGGAAACUGUGAAACUGGAGUGCAGGAGAGGUAAGUGGAAUUCCUAGUGUAGCGGUGAAAUGCGUAGAUAUUAGGAGGAACACCAGUGGCGAAGGCGGCUUACUGGACUGUAACUGACGUUGAGGCUCGAAAGCGUGGGGAGCAAAC